RNAcentral lists this ribosomal RNA (253 nucleotides) under uncultured bacterium. RNAcentral describes it as "partial 16S ribosomal RNA". It matches the Rfam family "Bacterial small subunit ribosomal RNA", at positions 524 to 776 of the family's 1533-position model. The record is from RNAcentral.
UACGGAGGGUGCAAGCGUUGUCCGGAUUCAUUGGGUUUAAAGGGUACGCAGGCGGGCGAUUAAGUCAGGGGUGAAAGACGGUUGCUCAACAAUCGCAGUGCCUUUGAUACUGGUUGUCUUGGGUGACCUUGAGGUAGGCGGAAUGGGUGGUGUAGCGGUGAAAUGCAUAGAUACCACCCAGAACUCCGAUUGCGAAGGCAGCCUACUGGAGGUUCACCGACGCUCAGGCACGAAAGCGUGGGGAUCAAACAGG